AGCACUUCAGAGUGACCGCUGACACCCACGGACUGAACAUAGCUCCAUAGUGGACUCCGCGUAGAUGCAGCCUGGGAGUCGCUUUCCCCAGACUCUCGUGCCGCUCAAAGGUGGCCGAGAGCAUUUUGACACCGACUCCGAGUUAGCAACCACUCCCCUGAUGUAGGGCCAGACCGGCCACCGGGAACAAGGCCAUCCCGGCACCGAGGGACAGUCAGCACCUAACUGUAAGGGUCCUACUGAUGCACCCAAGCCUGGCGAGCCGGGGCCGUGCGUGGGCUGAACUCCAGCCGGUGGGAGCAGACAGAGGCCAAGCCACAUGCAUUAUUUUUCUCUCCUUUUGAGGAUCACAGAAGAGGAUUAACUUUGGGAAGAGGACACACCCAAGCCUCACUGAGAACUGCAGUGAUGGUCUGAAAGUUUACGGCAGCCCACAGUAUGCAGAUCAGCACCCCAGCAUGGCCAGAAUGGCAACUGCGUCCAUGAGAUGAACUCACGUCGGCAGAGAAGGCAAGCAGGAACGAAACCAAGCACAUCAGGUGACAGCAGCUGCUAUUUUAGCUCAGUUAGUGUCAUCGCCGGUGACUGCCAAAGAUCUAGAAAUACAAAAUGAUCGUGUGUCUACAAAGUAGGACAGUCCUUUAAUUUACCUCCAGGAGAAGAAAUGAGAAAGCAACCUCCUCCUGGCUUAGCUCUGCAAGAGAAACGGCGUGCGUGCACCGUGCAGGGUCCACUCCCUGGCUGCGAACGCCUCGCUGCCCAGGACGGCGGCCUUGCGCCUGACCUCCGUCCACGCUAUUUGUCUAGCCCCAUCACAACCCUGACAUAAAAUCUUGCUUUCCUCUGCUUUUGUUGUUUCUGUUUGGCCAGCACACUUUGCUCUCGUGUUUCUUCUGGAACCAAGCGGACAUCGGUUAUUGCCUUCCCGGACGUCAGCAGAGUCUGUUUGGCCUUUUCCAGUUCACUGGCCCCAGUCUGCGGGUCAGGUGGGUCCCGGGGUGAGUGACACUCAAUACUCUGAGAGCUGGGGGCUGCAAACGUUAGAAAGAUAAGGUAGAGCAUAGCAGAAAACUAAGCACAGAGCUGUGUCUUAUCUCAGCGUCUUUGGAGAAAGAAUAAAAAAAUUAUUGACUGUGAUCACACGGGCUGAGUUCCAAGCCCCUUGACCGCAGCUUCCCAAAGCAGCUGGAGGACAGUCUCUGCCCUCUGCACUAACCUGCUCCAGGCACGGAACGGGUGUCUUCCAGCCAGCUUGGAAGACACACGGCUAUGAGGACCCAAUGAAGGGCGAAGAGGUCGUGCUUGGAUCUGGACCAUGGGAACCCUCUAAUGGUGUCAGGAGGAGUGUCAGGAAGGAGCAGAGAGCUGCAGCAAGACUGUGGCCUCCGCCCUGGCCCUCUAGGUGACGUUGGACGAGCCACCCAAUCUCUCUGGGUUUGCUUCCUUCCCUGUGGAUGGCAUAAAGUUAGGCUACGUGGCCACCCAGGUUUGAUGGCUCUGCCCUCACUCAGGAAGCAAGUUCUGGCCCUUUAGAAAGCAAAUUCCAUUGAACGUUUGCAUGUCGUUAGAAGGGCUCAGAUAAGACACUGAAAUAUAAUUCCCGCGUACAGAGCGAGAUCCACAUGCCGUGCUGGGCUGUGAGGUUGGGCUGCGUCCCGCCUCCGCCUCCUGAAACCAGCCUGAUGAACAGGGUCCCCGCAGGUGAGAAGUGGCAAGGAGCCACUAGGGCCAGCGAGGACACAGAUCACGCCCUGCAUGGGGUACCCUCAGCCUCGCCCAUUCCUGUACCUGCCCUCCUCUUCCCUUUGCCCAGCCUUGGCUCAAGCCUGACUCACACCAUGGAAUCCUCCUGGUUAUCAGUCGGGAAGUCUCUGCACUUGCACAAUGCCUGCAAUUUCUGCAGUGCAACUUGGCACUUGGGUUGCUCGUUGCUGGUUCCUGUGUGUGAUUCUUGUCUUAGGAGUUUCC
Non-coding RNA from Microcebus murinus (gray mouse lemur), 1968 nucleotides. The record is from RefSeq and is a predicted model, not a curated record. Lineage: Eukaryota; Metazoa; Chordata; Mammalia; Primates; Cheirogaleidae.